RNAcentral lists this ribosomal RNA (432 nucleotides) under uncultured bacterium. Its description in RNAcentral is "partial 16S ribosomal RNA". It matches the Rfam family "Bacterial small subunit ribosomal RNA", at positions 29 to 506 of the family's 1533-position model. The record is from RNAcentral.
AACGAACGCUGGCUGCAUGCCUAACACAUGCAAGUCGAACGAGACCUUCGGGUCUAGUGGCGCACGGGUGCGUAACGCGUGGGAACCUGCCCUUAGGUUCGGAAUAACUCCCCGAAAGGGGUGCUAAUACCGGAUAAUGUCUUCGGACCAAAGAUUUAUCGCCUUUGGAUGGGCCCGCGUUGGAUUAGCUAGUUGGUAGGGUAAAAGCCUACCAAGGCGACGAUCCAUAGCUGGUCUGAGAGGAUGAUCAGCCACACUGGGACUGAGACACGGCCCAGACUCCUACGGGAGGCAGCAGUGGGGAAUAUUGGACAAUGGGCGAAAGCCUGAUCCAGCAAUGCCGCGUGAGUGAUGAAGGCCUUAGGGUUGUAAAGCUCUUUUACCCGGGAUGAUAAUGACAGUACCGGGAGAAUAAGCUCCGGCUAACUCCGU